RNAcentral lists this ribosomal RNA (631 nucleotides) under Flavobacteriales bacterium. RNAcentral describes it as "bacterial SSU rRNA". It matches the Rfam family "Bacterial small subunit ribosomal RNA", at positions 891 to 1533 of the family's 1533-position model. The record is from RNAcentral. Lineage: Bacteria; Pseudomonadati; Bacteroidota; Flavobacteriia; Flavobacteriales.
AGGUUGAAACUCAAAGGAAUUGACGGGGGCCCGCACAAGCGGUGGAGCAUGUGGUUUAAUUCGAUGAUACGCGAGGAACCUUACCAGGGCUUAAAUGUAGAAUGACAGUUGUGGAAACACAUCCUUCUUCGGACAUUCUACAAGGUGCUGCAUGGUUGUCGUCAGCUCGUGCCGUGAGGUGUCGGGUUAAGUCCCAUAACGAGCGCAACCCCUAUCUCUAGUUGCCAGCGGGUAAUGCCGGGGACUCUAGAGAAACUGCCUACGCAAGUAGUGAGGAAGGCGGGGAUGACGUCAAGUCAGCACGGCCCUUACGUCCAGGGCCACACACGUGUUACAAUGGCCGGUACAGAGGGCAGCUACCUGGUGACAGGAUGCAAAUCUCUAAAGCCGGUCUCAGUUCGGAUCGAAGUCUGCAACUCGACUUCGUGAAGUUGGAUUCGCUAGUAAUCGCGCAUCAGCCUCGGCGCGGUGAAUACGUUCCCGGGCCUUGUACACACCGCCCGUCAAGCCAUGGAAGCCGAGGGUACCUGAAGUCGGUCGCCGCAAGGAGCCGCCUAGGGUAAAAUUGGUAACUGGGGCUAAGUCGUAACAAGGUAGCCGUACCGGAAGGUGCGGCUGGAAUACCUCCUUU